RNAcentral lists this long non-coding RNA (487 nucleotides) under Mytilus galloprovincialis (Mediterranean mussel). The record is from RNAcentral. Lineage: Eukaryota; Metazoa; Mollusca; Bivalvia; Mytilida; Mytilidae.
UACAUUUAGUGGGAGAUAUUAUGGACAUAAUUGUGCAAAUCGUGAUACAAGCAUGAAAUUUGGUAUAAAGGUUGACUAAAUGAUACUUAAAAAAAAUCCGCUGCUGGCCAGAAAAAAAAUCAUUUUUUUCAAAAUGGCCACCACACAUUUGGGAAAUGGCGUCAUUACAAAUUGGCAAUAAUUCGUUAAUCCUUUGAAAGGUGUGUUAUAUGUAAAAUCCAAUGUUAAGUUUGAUAAAAAAAAAAAAGAAAUGACAGUUCCUAAAUUACGACUAGACAACACAUUAAUGAAACUAAAGGUGACUUCCGGUUUCAAAUAUGCCGGCAAAAAAGUAAAAAAAAUUUCAAUUUUUAUACUUUCAAGCAACUUCACAAGGGAUGUAAAUCCUUGAAAGAUGUGUUAUAGGUAUAAUCCAAUGUAAGUUAUGAUAAAACGUUAAAAACAGUUCCUAAGUACGACAAAACAACACAUAAAUGAAAAAAAUAGU